UGGCAUUUACACAGUAGUUGAUCUUAACAAACUUAUUGCAGUCGGAUGCUUAGUUAAAACAAUUUAACAGCAUUUCACACAAUUUUCCAUAUUUACAAACAAAUUUUAAUGCGACGGUAAUUUUUUAAUUAUUGUUUUAUUUUUAAGUAUAUGAAAGUCGUUUGACGUCGUCGGUCGCUGAGCGUUCAUCAUUUUAAGCGAGCGUUUAAACAUCCAGUCGGAUGCAUAUUUUUGGCACCAAACCCGUAACCGUAAAUGCGACACAACGGAGAUGACAUCACGGCCGGAUUGCGGCCAACUUGCGUACUUUUCGCAACGCGCUUAGCGGUACUUUCGCAGUCACCACCCCAAAUAUAUAUAGACAUACAUAUAUAUAAACAAGUAACCCACCGAAAA
This is a long non-coding RNA of Drosophila montana, 396 nucleotides long. RefSeq lists it as uncharacterized. Lineage: Eukaryota; Metazoa; Arthropoda; Insecta; Diptera; Drosophilidae. The record is from RefSeq and is a predicted model, not a curated record. The transcript has 2 exons.